Molecule: long non-coding RNA, 218 nt
Filed under: Gossypium barbadense (sea-island cotton)
Lineage: Eukaryota; Viridiplantae; Streptophyta; Magnoliopsida; Malvales; Malvaceae
Description: long non-coding RNA (GBAR_LNC017021)
Source: RNAcentral
UUACCAUUUUGCCCCUAACAUUUUGCACUUUUUGCAAUUUAGUCCUUUUUGCACAAAAUACACAAAAUUUGCCCAUAACACACAAGGGCCGAAUAUUCAUGGUUCUCAUACAAGUCCACACAUUGCAUUUAUUUCACAUUUUAGUCCCUCAAAAAUUUAUUUUCACAAUUUAGCCCUAAAUACUCAAAUUCAUCAAAAAUAUCAAUACAAAACAUGUU